Sinocyclocheilus anshuiensis is the source of this 491-nucleotide long non-coding RNA. RefSeq lists it as uncharacterized. NCBI's taxonomy places the organism in Eukaryota, Metazoa, Chordata, Actinopteri, Cypriniformes, Cyprinidae. The record is from RefSeq and is a predicted model, not a curated record. The transcript is spliced from 4 exons.
CUUUUUUAGAAAGACGUUUUUGUCAGCCGAACAACCGACAUGUUAAACGUUACAUUCAGUUGGACGCACUGCUAUGACUGAGCACAUUACAGUGAGGAUCACCAUCCAUCUUAAUAUUUUUUUUAGGCAACUCAGGUUAUUAAAGGGUUAUGAGGCUGUUGUAUAGGAAAUGUCUUUGCUUGUGUGUGUGUUGUUUACAAGUAAAUUUAAGUUGAAUAAUUAUUUUUAUUUUUUUUACAGGCACACGCUUGUGAGUCUGAGACUGGAUGAAGGGCAAACAUUUGACUGUGAGUCUGAGACUUGAUGAAGGAUCAUUAGGCAGCUGAGUUCGAUCGGUGUCCGGGUCGUAGGGUGGCAGAUGUAGGAGAGAGGAAACGCUUUCGCUGCGAUUGGAGAUGCAGAUCCACCGGUCAGUGUGGUUUGGCCUAUUAAACGGAUAGUUCACCCAAAAAUGAAAAUUCUGUCAUUAAUUACUCACUCUCAUGUCGUUC